This 1880-nucleotide long non-coding RNA is filed under the name Volvox carteri. RNAcentral's name for it is "long non-coding RNA (VCAR_LNC001198)". Lineage: Eukaryota; Viridiplantae; Chlorophyta; Chlorophyceae; Chlamydomonadales; Volvocaceae. The record is from RNAcentral.
GGUUGGGCACGGGUACCGAUUGGUCACCGGUCGAAUGUAUACCAUAGGAAAGCAGAAAAAAGUGAUGUGACUCUUAACUUGCAGGUCGGUCAGCUUGGGUGGAAAUCCUGCCAGCAAGCUUAAUGCGAAAUGCGCCGCAGUUUACGGCCGUAUGCCUUUGGUGUCGAUGGCGAACGCUCCAUGAUGAUUAUUUAUCAUGGUUUCAAGAGUAAGAGACGUUUGCCUGACUGACUCGGCUAGUGGAAAAUGGCAGUAAACUCAGAGCGCACCGGAAGAUGAACUCCUCACGCAGGUCAUCAUGAAACACGAAAUGCACCCCAGAACGAGGCUGUUCCGAGAAUGGCAAAGAAUUGAGGUCCAAUGGAAGCAGAGGGGCCAUUGACCCAGCUUUCUAAACAGAGCCUUAGAGAAGCUGUGGGUGAGGUUGUGGGAACGACGACUGGCGCUGCAGGCAUGCCGUUCCAGCGCCACCACCUUUGACUUAUCAUGAAUGCCCCGGGUCUGCCCUCGCUGGUGUGAGACGUAGUUGCCCUGGCGGCCCUGGCGGGGCCUUGAAGCGUGGUCGUCAACGCAUCAACCGUGUCUGGGAUUCUCGCACUGCCCUCUCGCGCGCGAAGCUGGUGGGCAUUGCUACUGAAGUCAAGGCUGAUUUCUGGGCACGUUUUGUGUCAUUCGAGUCGUUGGGCGUCCCCCCCCCAACUGGGAAGCUGUCCCGUCACAACCAGUUCCUGGCGUGUGUGUUCGGUCCCUUGUCUUCCGGGGACCCCCAACUCUGCCUCCCCGUCCCCGUCCCGGCGUGCGUGACGUUGUACGGCGUGGUCGUCGCUGUACUUGGAUGUGUUGACUCUUCAUGCGUCACGUGCAAUGCUCGGACUGUGUUACAGACCCUUGAUGGUAAAACCGCUGGUAGGCAUGGUGUGGAGCCUGUCGGUGGCUUCGGUUCCUAUGUCGUGGUAGUCUGUUCUAACCCAGGUCUCACUGGGUGCGCCCCCUGCCUUAAGUCGCUGGUCCGUACAUCAGUUAUAGCGGCCGGACCAUUUAAAUUUGAUUUCCGUUUUGAUUCUCGCUUUCCGAUUCCAGAUUUUUUUGAGUCACCCUUAACUGCUGCGCUGACACAGUCGACAUAAAUUUGCUUUCCUCGCUCGUCUACAAUGACCAGGCCUAUCCACAUACAAGCGACGUCCGCACGGCUGACGUCUUCGUGCUUACACGUCGGGUCAAAGCACCGGGCAUUCCACGCAACUUCCUAAGCGGGACGUGAACGGAGUAAGCCCGUACUCUUCUAGCAAACAUUCAUGUAUUCUUAUUGCCGACUAUACGGCCUGCUAAAGCGUACGCUCAUGCGCCCAUUCCAGACCGCGUUACUCCUAUGUGUUGAAACAUGCCCGCUGUCAAAACGCCACUUUCUGAAGGGCCCUCCCGAAACACGCGGUUUUUAUGACAGGUCCCAGGUGUAAAUAGAAACAACCCAUGCUUUUCACUCUGGCAGGACUUUCCCAAGAGCACACUGUACUUUCCACUUCAUACACUGUGCCCUAGCCGCCGCCCUGCCAAGGCACUCACCAACAUGCCGACAGGACAACACUUGGUCGAGGUCCCACUCGCCCAUCAGCACAUGCAACCGGACACAAGCGACUGACGCUCAUUGGCAAGCGUGUUCACAAGCACUUAUGACCGACACCCAAGGCAUCUGCUGCGCCCCCUCUUCCGCCUCAUGAUUUCAGCCCCCGCUGUCUUCUCGCAUCCAUAAUGCAGGGAACAGCCUUCGUCCCAGUGUGUCUGUCCUGUUGCAUGCAUUUGCUCUCCCCAAUGCCCAAUCGCCGGGCCAGCUCAUAAAACAUAGUCAGUUAUGCUUCCGAAAUAUAUCCACCAGGUGUGGG